ACACGACUCUCGGCAACGGAUAUCUCGGCUCUCGCAUCGAUGAAGAACGUAGCGAAAUGCGAUACCUGGUGUGAAUUGCAGAAUCCCGCGAACCAUCGAGUCUUUGAACGCAAGUUGCGCCCGAGGCCAUUCGGCCGAGGGCACGCCUGCCUGGGCGUCACG
This 162-nucleotide ribosomal RNA is filed under the name Polypogon monspeliensis (annual rabbitsfoot grass). RNAcentral describes it as "5.8S ribosomal RNA". It matches the Rfam family "5.8S ribosomal RNA". Rfam says of the family: 5.8S ribosomal RNA (5.8S rRNA) is a component of the large subunit of the eukaryotic ribosome. The record is from RNAcentral. Lineage: Eukaryota; Viridiplantae; Streptophyta; Magnoliopsida; Poales; Poaceae. RNAcentral also lists the same sequence under 3 other names.